This 433-nucleotide ribosomal RNA is filed under the name uncultured bacterium. RNAcentral's name for it is "bacterial SSU rRNA". It matches the Rfam family "Bacterial small subunit ribosomal RNA", at positions 917 to 1350 of the family's 1533-position model. The record is from RNAcentral.
GGGCCCGCACAAGCGGUGGAGUAUGUGGUUUAAUUCGAUGCAACGCGAAGAACCUUACCAGGGUUUGACAUCCUGCGAAUCUCUUGGAAACGAGAGAGUGCCUUCGGGAGCGCAGUGACAGGUGGUGCAUGGCUGUCGUCAGCUCGUGUCGUGAGAUGUUGGGUUAAGUCCCGCAACGAGCGCAACCCACGUCUUUAGUUACCAGCACUUCGGGUGGGAACUCUAAGGAUACUGCCAGUGACAAACUGGAGGAAGGCGGGGACGACGUCAAGUCAUCAUGGCCCUUACGACCAGGGCUACACACGUGCUACAAUGGUAGGUACAGAGGGCAGCUACACAGCGAUGUGAUGCGAAUCUCAAAAAGCCUAUCGUAGUCCAGAUUGGAGUCUGCAACUCGACUCCAUGAAGUAGGAAUCGCUAGUAAUCGCGGAUC